RNAcentral lists this ribosomal RNA (719 nucleotides) under uncultured Cortinarius. Its description in RNAcentral is "eukaryotic LSU rRNA". The stretch from base 403 to 719 matches the Rfam family "Eukaryotic large subunit ribosomal RNA", at positions 1 to 310 of the family's 3401-position model. Lineage: Eukaryota; Fungi; Basidiomycota; Agaricomycetes; Agaricales; Cortinariaceae. The record is from RNAcentral.
UGCUUUUUCAUUUACCCCAAUGUAUGUUAAUAGAAUGUUGUGACUAUAAAAACUAUACAACUUUCAGCAACGGAUCUCUUGGCUCUCGCAUCGAUGAAGAACGCAGCGAAAUGCGAUAAGUAAUGUGAAUUGCAGAAUUCAGUGAAUCAUCGAAUCUUUGAACGCACCUUGCGCUCCUUGGUAUUCCGAGGAGCAUGCCUGUUUGAGUGUCAUUAAUAUAUAUCAACCUUCUCAUUGCUGAGUGGUUUGGAUGUGGGGGUUUGCUGGCCUCUUAAAUGAGUUCAGCUCUCCUGAAAUGCAUUAGCAGAACAACCCUGUUCAUUGGCGUGAUAACUAUCUACGCUAUUGAAUGUGAGGGACAGUUCAGCUUUCUAAUAGUCCUUGGACAACUCAUCAUUUAUGUGACCUCAAAUCAGGUAGGACUACCCGCUGAACUUAAGCAUAUCAAUAAGCGGAGGAAAAGAAACUAACAAGGAUUCCCCUAGUAACUGCGAGUGAAGCGGGAAAAGCUCAAAUUUAAAAUCUGGCGGUCUUUUGGCUGUCCGAGUUGUAAUCUAGAGAAGUGUUAUCCGCGCUGGACCGUGUACAAGUCUCCUGGAAUGGAGCAUCAUAGAGGGUGAGAAUCCCGUCUUUGACAUGGACUACCAGGGCUUUGUGAUGCGCUCUCAAAGAGUCGAGUUGUUUGGGAAUGCAGCUCAAAAUGGGUGGUAAAUUCCAUC